Molecule: non-coding RNA, 115 nt
Organism: Triticum aestivum (bread wheat)
Lineage: Eukaryota; Viridiplantae; Streptophyta; Magnoliopsida; Poales; Poaceae
Source: Rfam
GAACUACUCCCUCCGUUCGGAAUUACUUGUCUCGGAAAUGGAUGUAUUUUGAAUUAAAACACGUCUAGAUACGUCCAUUUCUGCGACAAGUAAUUCCGAACGGAGGGAGUAAUAA